Molecule: long non-coding RNA, 919 nt
Organism: Hydra vulgaris (swiftwater hydra)
Lineage: Eukaryota; Metazoa; Cnidaria; Hydrozoa; Anthoathecata; Hydridae
Source: RefSeq, a predicted model, not a curated record
UUUAUAGCAUCUUUACAGAAAAUUUACUUUUUUUAGAGUUUAAAUAAAAAAAAUAAUUAAUUACAUGCAGUUCGUGGUAAGGUUUUAGCAAAGCGUUUUACUAUUUAUGGAAAAGCAAAUCAAUCAAACGCAACGGAAAAACAUAUCGUCUUGGUAAAAUAUUUUUAUCUUUAUAAAAAUGCGUUCACUGUGUUUGUAUAUAAGGUAUUUAUUUAAAAUAAAAAAAAAAAGGUACAAAUUGGGGAAUAAACAGAUUUACCUCCCAUCCAAACUUUAACUUUAAAACUGGCGUCGUUAAGUCUGAUAUGAGAAAGAAUUAAUUGCAAAAAUCGCGAAAAUAUAAUAUAUAAAGUUGGACUUUGCACCUGGUUAAAUUGUAUUGAUAAUACGCUUUUUAGCAACAAAAAAUAAUUAAAAGAAGCUUCGAUUGGAAACUGUAAUGUGCCCCAAGAAGUCCUAACGGUCUUAUCAGAGAGCAUCGUGGGUGUUUGUAGAGAUGAAAAUCUUACUUGGAAAAAUCACAUUAAAAACUUAUCUUGUAAAAUUUCAAAAAGUAUAAGAAUAUUGUGGAAAGCAAGAAAUGUUUUAAAUAAACAUACUUUAGUAAAAUUAUAUUACUCGUAUAUUCAUUGUCACAUAUACUGUGCAAACAUUGCUUGGAUUAGUACAAAUAAAGGUAAAUUUAAACAUUUUUAUUGUUAGCAGAAAUAUGUAGCACGUCUAAUAUAUUUUAAAGACCGUUACAUUUAUGCCAACCCACUAUUUUGAAAUAAAAGUUUUUAAUAUAUAUGAGCUUAAAGUUUUUAAUAUUCUUUGUUUUACGAAUUAAUCUAAAACCAAUUCAUCUCCGAUUUGUUUUCAUAAUUUGUAUUUAAAAGAUAAACAUAAAUCAUUUUAUGCAAUGAUAAUUUUGUUAAGC